GGGGGCGUAUUUGGUUUCGACGGGGACUCAGGGGAGAAGAGAAGCGAGCGGCAGCCCCGAUCUGCCAUAAAAUCGGGAAAAACAAUAACUGCGAAUAACGACAGUUACGCCGUCGCCGCUUAAUGCGGUGACCGUCGACCCUAAGCCUCCUGCGGCGUAGGUCAUCGGCGUCAUAAAGGCAGGGAACGGGCCCAAUAAAGCUUUGAAGCGGGCCGGCAUUUAUGAAGCUACCGUAGGCGGAAUCCUGUUCGCGGGAGUCCGUCGAGGGGAAUCCUAAAACACGAACUGCGCUCGGAGACGCUCUUUUCGUCGGGUUUUCGGACAGGGGUUCGACCCCCCUCGCCUCCAUAC
This 351-nucleotide transfer-messenger RNA is filed under the name Clostridiales bacterium. It matches the Rfam family "transfer-messenger RNA". From Rfam's summary of the family: Bacterial tmRNA, also known as 10Sa RNA or SsrA, is named for its dual tRNA and mRNA-like properties. Its role is to liberate the mRNA from a stalled ribosome. To accomplish this part of the tmRNA is used as a reading frame that ends in a translation stop signal. The record is from RNAcentral. Lineage: Bacteria; Bacillati; Bacillota; Clostridia; Eubacteriales. RNAcentral also lists the same sequence under 3 other names.